AGCCUAUUAGCUCAAAUGGUAGAGCAAUGUGCGAUUGUACAUAGAUGUAGGUUCGAAUCCUACAUAGGUUA
This is a non-coding RNA of Spinacia oleracea (spinach), 71 nucleotides long. The record is from Rfam. Lineage: Eukaryota; Viridiplantae; Streptophyta; Magnoliopsida; Caryophyllales; Amaranthaceae.